AUGCUUUGGGGAGCUGUACGUAAGCGUUGAUCCAGAGAUUUCCGAAUGGGGGAACCCACUAUCUUUAGUCGGAUAGUAUCCUUACGUGAAUACAUAGCGUGAGGAAGGCAGACCCAGGGAACUGAAACAUCUAAGUACCUGGAGGAAGAGAAAGAAAAAUCGAUUUCCUGAGUAGCGGCGAGCGAAACGGAAAGAGCCCAAACCAAGAAGCUUGCUUCUUGGGGUUGUAGGACACUCUAUACGGAGUUACAAAAGAAAGUUAUAAAUGAAGCGGUCUGGAAAGGCCCGCCAAAGACGG
RNAcentral lists this ribosomal RNA (298 nucleotides) under Listeria monocytogenes. RNAcentral describes it as "partial 23S ribosomal RNA". It matches the Rfam family "Bacterial large subunit ribosomal RNA", at positions 71 to 364 of the family's 2925-position model. Lineage: Bacteria; Bacillati; Bacillota; Bacilli; Caryophanales; Listeriaceae. The record is from RNAcentral.